This 265-nucleotide signal recognition particle RNA is filed under the name Clostridia bacterium. Its description in RNAcentral is "signal recognition particle sRNA large type". It matches the Rfam family "Bacterial large signal recognition particle RNA". Rfam says of the family: The signal recognition particle (SRP) is a universally conserved ribonucleoprotein involved in the co-translational targeting of proteins to membranes. Archaeal SRP consists of a 7S RNA and homologues of the eukaryotic SRP19 and SRP54 proteins. The record is from RNAcentral. Lineage: Bacteria; Bacillati; Bacillota; Clostridia.
UCGUACUAGCCGGGGCGGUAGCGGUGCCCUGAACUUGCAAUCCGCUAGAGCAAGGGCGAUUACUCUGCUGAGGAGCGGUUUUGUAUGGCCGGUGUUUGUUAAAAGGCGUUGAGGUUUUGGUCCUGUGCGACUUAAGCCCGUGAACCUUGUCAGGCGGGGAACCGAGCAGCAAUAAGCGGUGUCUUCGGUGUGUUACGGGGGUGCCAGGCGGAGCCGGCUGCAAACGUGCCGCAUGGAAAGCCUGUUUCGAAGCAGAGGUGUACGG